This 450-nucleotide ribosomal RNA is filed under the name uncultured bacterium. RNAcentral's name for it is "partial 16S ribosomal RNA". It matches the Rfam family "Bacterial small subunit ribosomal RNA", at positions 354 to 796 of the family's 1533-position model. The record is from RNAcentral.
GUGGGGAAUUUUGGACAAUGGGCGCAAGCCUGAUCCAGCAAUGCCGCGUGCAGGAAGAAGGCCUUCGGGUUGUAAACUGCUUUUGUACGGAACGAAACGGUCCGGGUUAAUACCCUGGGCUAAUGACGGUACCGUAAGAAUAAGCACCGGCUAACUACGUGCCAGCAGCCGCGGUAAUACGUAGGGUGCAAGCGUUAAUCGGAAUUACUGGGCGUAAAGCGUGCGCAGGCGGUUUUGUAAGACAGGCGUGAAAUCCCCGGGCUCAACCUGGGAAUUGCGCUUGUGACUGCAAGGCUGGAGUGCGGCAGAGGGGGAUGGAAUUCCGCGUGUAGCAGUGAAAUGCGUAGAUAUGCGGAGGAACACCGAUGGCGAAGGCAAUCCCCUGGACCUGUACUGACGCUCAUGCACGAAAGCGUGGGGAGCAAACAGGAUUAGAAACCCUGGUAGUCC